Long non-coding RNA from Eriocheir sinensis (Chinese mitten crab), 646 nucleotides. RefSeq lists it as uncharacterized. The record is from RefSeq and is a predicted model, not a curated record. The transcript is spliced from 4 exons. NCBI's taxonomy places the organism in Eukaryota, Metazoa, Arthropoda, Malacostraca, Decapoda, Varunidae.
CCCAUUGGACAUGUGUAGUGGGAAGUGUCGCGACUUAUUUCCCCGAGGAGGUAUUUCUCGCAUACACCUGGAAGCCACAUUGUCAUCCGUGAAGGGAGUCGGCUCUUAUAUUUUUGUGUUUUUUGAAGCGAAUUAUCCGUUGCCGAGGGAGCCAUGCAUCUAGAAACGGCUGGGGAAGGAGACGGUGGCUGAGUGGUUAGCGUGCCGGUCCUGCGUUCGCUGCGUCAUGGAUGAUGAGGGUUUGAAUCUGCCGCUGCCACAGACUACUUGUCCUGAAGACCACCACCAUCAUCCCGGACUGUAUGGGACUGUCCAAGGGAAAGCAAGAUGGGGCUGCUAUAAACACUUGCCGGCUUGGGCCCCCCACCAGGCCCAGCCAAGGGAGGUUGGUGUAGCAGUGCUGGGAGGUUCCAUAACACAGGGCACUCCUCACCUCAACAACAGUCUCUUCACCGACAAGUAAUUCUUCACCAACAAGCUUUUCAGCAGCUUGGAGAAAUAGAGACAAGAGGAGGAGGAGGAAGAAGAGGAGGAGGAGGAGGACUUUGAAGACUGACAGACAGACAUCAUUCCAGUCCAGUGGUGAGUUAAGUCAUUUUCCUUCCCUUCCUUCCUUCCUUCCUUCCUUCCUUCCUUCCUUCCUUCC